Molecule: ribosomal RNA, 465 nt
Filed under: uncultured bacterium
Lineage: Bacteria
Description: SSU rRNA
Rfam family: Bacterial small subunit ribosomal RNA
Source: RNAcentral
AGGACGAACGCUGGCGGCGCGCCUAACACAUGCAAGUCGAGCGAUAACCAGGGCUUGCCCUGGGGACAGCGGCGAACGGGUGCGUAACACGUGAGCAACCUGCCCCAAAGACCGGGACAACCCGAGGAAACUCGGACUAAUACCGGAUGCCCUCACCGGGCCGCAUGGUCUGGUGAGGAAAUGGAUUCCGCUUUGGGAUGGGCUCGCGGUCUAUCAGCUUGUUGGUGGGGUAACGGCCUACCAAGGCAACGACGGAUAGCUGGUCUGAGAGGACGAUCAGCCACACUGGGACUGAGACACGGCCCAGACUCCUACGGGAGGCAGCAGUGGGGAAUCUUGCGCAAUGGGGGAAACCCUGACGCAGCGACGCCGCGUGCGGGAUGAAGGCCUUCGGGUUGUAAACCGCUUUCAGCAGGGACGAAUUGACGGUACUGCAGAGAGCCGGCACUACGCGCCAGCAGCCGC